This 396-nucleotide ribosomal RNA is filed under the name uncultured bacterium. RNAcentral's name for it is "bacterial SSU rRNA". It matches the Rfam family "Bacterial small subunit ribosomal RNA", at positions 975 to 1368 of the family's 1533-position model. The record is from RNAcentral.
CAGCUUUUGACAUGUCCGGUUUGAUCGGCAGAGAUGCCUUUCUUCAGUUCGGCUGGCCGGAACACAGGUGCUGCAUGGCUGUCGUCAGCUCGUGUCGUGAGAUGUUGGGUUAAGUCCCGCAACGAGCGCAACCCUCGCCCCUAGUUGCCAUCAUUCAGUUGGGAACUCUAGGGGGACUGCCGGUGAUAAGCCGCGAGGAAGGUGGGGAUGACGUCAAGUCCUCAUGGCCCUUACAGGCUGGGCUACACACGUGCUACAAUGGCGGUGACAAUGGGCAGCGAAAGGGCGACCUCGAGCUAAUCCCAAAAAGCCGUCUCAGUUCAGAUUGUACUCUGCAACUCGAGUACAUGAAGGUGGAAUCGCUAGUAAUCGUGGAUCAGCAUGCCACGGUGAAUA